GGCCCAGGAACAGAGCUGAGACAUGCCCAAAGACGAAAUAAAAGAUAAAGUCGCCUUCGAACGGAGCUUGUCUCCUGGCAGUUUACGUAGACACAUCCAGGCACUUUUCUUAGCCGGAGAUCGAAAUGACUCGCCAUUGCCCUUUUUUCUUUUUGAUUUCUCAAUCUGGACUAUCGUUUUACUAAAGAGUAACCAGAAUCGACCCUGCACAGCUCUUUAGAUCCUUUGCCUGAACAACGAAGUCUUUUUUUUUUUUUUUUUAACCUGCGUGGCUGGCCAAUGAUCUUUGUCCUGGAAACUUUCAUUUUCACUUCUGAUCUUCCAAUAAUGUUAUUACAGUUCCUGAAAAACUGGGAAGGGAAAUAAUUACCUGAUACUGUUUAAGAGUCUAAAGGUGAGAUACCUGCUUAGUAAAGGAGGACCAAUAGUAUACACACUCGAAAUUUGGAAGGUUUUUUUUAAUUCUACUUUAAGUUGGAAGACUGCUAACCAAGACUCCUAUCAAAUUAAAAAAAAAAAUUGGCUUCCGGUUCCGGGUUGCGGCGCUCCUAGUUGCACGAAGAGACUCGGCUCCUUGUCGGCUACCCUCCCUCUGCCGGUGGACGCUUAUGCGGGUCUAAAGCGUCGAAGAGGUUUCGCUCGGCUGUGGAGGAGCGGCGGCUCCUCCAGCUGUCCGGGCCAGACUCUGAGGGCCGUCGGAGAAGAUCGGCCACUAAAAUGGCCGAUCACUUAGCCGGUAGAAACUGCAAGUCAAAGAACAGUUAAGCUUGAAAACCCACCGUUUUAGCUUAAAAAGGAGAUAUUUUUAGCCACCGGACGAAAAAGAUGGAAGCAGUAACCAAAGAAACUGAGUUUGAAUUCAAUUUAAUCUGAUUAAAAAUUAUACAAAGCACAAGUGGAACAACAUUCUUCUUACAAAUAUUGCACGUGAGAGCAUAUGGAUAUGUACAACUUUGCCAUUCUUUACAUCCAAGGUACUCUUGUCCUGAUAAGGUUCAAGAUGAAGUUGUGCAAAGGAAAAGGAAACCUGAUAAUAAUCCAAUUACUUCUCUGAUAAAUUGGCAAUUACCAGAAAUAUACCACCUGAACACAAAUUGCUUUAAGAAAUGAAUAUAACUUAUCUUACAAUGCAUUUAUGAAAUGAAAUGCCAGGGGCUCCCUCCUGAUGGAAGGCAAAUGGGAUAGUGAUUUUUCAUGGUUCCUUUUUUGCUCAGGUGAUUGGAUGGGUGAUUUUGGGAUGAGGAGACUGGAAGAGGAGACAAUUUGGCAACUGCCGAAUCUUCCCGUAGAUAAUUCAAAUUCAUGGCCUUCCCCUCUUCUCAACUCUAAAUUCCACCGCUAUCAAAUUCCAGUUAACAGUAAUUGGGUGGAAAAGUAUGCAGUCUGAAAUUGUGCUGUGAACGUUACUUUCCCUUAUAACCAGCCCCUCAAGCUAUACCCAGCAUGGCAGUACUUCAAAGAUUCCAAUUGAUGUAAUAGUCAGGGCAAACCUCAUCCCAUUUCCACUUGUCAACUUCCCUGGUGCUGUGAAUAGUUACAGUGGCCUCUGUGGGUGAUCAUACUCCGUCUCUCUUUGCAAAUUUUACUUGGUACGGAAUAGGACAUUUAAAAUAAGACAUUGGUAAUCUGAACAUUUUUGAAGCAAACUGAAAAAGACAAUAACUGGAAUUGGAUUCCGCACUAUCCAAUUCUUUGAUUAUAUUUAUAACCUAAAACAAAGGGAUGAAUACCACAUAAAAUUAAAGGACAGUGUAUUAAUAGAGCUAUAAACAUGUGCAUGACUGCAAAUAAAACACAGAAGAUACCUUUUACAGGUCAUAUUUGUAACCCACAAGAAAGGUUCACAAUAUGUGUUCAAGAUGUUGACUCUAGAAAACAGAAAACUUUCUGUGGAAGUUUCUAUUGAUUGGCUAGUUGGAUCUUCGGUAUAAGAAAUAAAUAAAAACUAAACCAUGAAUACUCUUUUGGGCUACAGCUACAAAAUCCAAAUAAGAAUUCAUUCAACACGGGGUUCCCAGUGGUUCCUUCCAUUUGGCUGCCCUAUGCCAUGCAAUGUAUCCUAGAACUACACACAGCAAACAGAGAAGUAUCUAGCUGAGUUAAAAAAAA
Molecule: long non-coding RNA, 2109 nt
Organism: Crotalus tigris (Tiger rattlesnake)
Lineage: Eukaryota; Metazoa; Chordata; Lepidosauria; Squamata; Viperidae
Exons: 2
Source: RefSeq, a predicted model, not a curated record